AAUCCUACGGGGCGCAGCAGUGGGGGAUAUUGCACAAUGGGGGGAACCCUGAUGCAGCGACGCCGCGUGGGUGAAGGAGCGUUUCGGCGCGUAAAGCCCUAUCGGCAGGGAAGAAGGAGGACGGUACCUGACUAAGAAGCCCCGGCUAACUACGUGCCAGCAGCCGCGGUAAUACGUAGGGGGCAAGCGUUAUCCGGAAUUACUGGGUGUAAAGGGAGCGGAGACGGCUGUGCAAGUCUGGAGUGAAAGGCGGGGGCCCAACCCCCGGACUGCUCUGGAAACUGUAUGGCUUGU
RNAcentral lists this ribosomal RNA (294 nucleotides) under uncultured bacterium. RNAcentral's name for it is "partial 16S ribosomal RNA". It matches the Rfam family "Bacterial small subunit ribosomal RNA", at positions 335 to 645 of the family's 1533-position model. The record is from RNAcentral.